CCUACGGGAGGCAGCAGUGAGGAAUAUUGGUCAAUGGGCGCGAGCCUGAACCAGCCAAGUAGCGUGAAGGAUGACUGCCCUACGGGUUGUAAACUUCUUUUAUAAAGGAAUAAAGUGAGGCACGUGUGCCUCUUUGUAUGUACUUUAUGAAUAAGGAUAGGCUAACUCCGUGCCAGAAGCCGCGGUAAUACGGAGGAUCCGAGCGUUAUCCGGAUUUAUUGGGUUUAAGGGGUGCGAGGGCGGGCUGUUAAGUCAGCGGUAAAAGCCCGGGGGUCAACCCCGGCGAGCCGUUGAAACUGGGUGUCUUGAGAGGUCGAGAGGUAUGCGGAAUGCGCGGUGUAGCGGUGAAAUGCUUAGAUA
RNAcentral lists this ribosomal RNA (360 nucleotides) under uncultured bacterium. RNAcentral describes it as "partial 16S ribosomal RNA". It matches the Rfam family "Bacterial small subunit ribosomal RNA", at positions 338 to 696 of the family's 1533-position model. The record is from RNAcentral.